RNAcentral lists this ribosomal RNA (343 nucleotides) under uncultured Clostridia bacterium. RNAcentral's name for it is "partial 16S ribosomal RNA". The record is from RNAcentral. Lineage: Bacteria; Bacillati; Bacillota; Clostridia.
GGAGUCUGGGCCGUGUCUCAGUCCCAAUGUGGCCGUCCAUCCUCUCAGACCGGCUACUGAUCGUCGCCUUGGUAGGCUUUUACCCUGCCAACCAGCUAAUCAGUCGCGGGCCCAUCCUAUACCGCCGGAGUUUUUCCAACCGGAGCAUGCGCCCCUGUUGGCUUAUGCGGUUUUAGCGUACAUUUCUAUACGUUAUCCCCCUGUAUAGGGUAGGUUACCCACGUGUUACUCACCCGUCCGCCGCUAAGCUUUCUCGCGCCUCCCCUCGCAGCAAGCUGCUUGGUUUGGCAGUGAAAAAGCUCCGCUCGACCUGCAUGUGUUAAGCGUGCCGCCAGCGUUCAUC